GCGGUGAGCCGAGGAUACAGAUAAUAAUUGGGCAUACUAAAUUGGGGAGAAAAUGGGGGUAAAAAAAUUGGCGACGACUAAAUUUAAUUUAAAAAAAAAAAAAAAAAAAAAAGCUGCCUAAACCUCACAAAUCUGCAAGGCAUAGAUGCUCAGCCUGCCCCAAAUGUGGAAUUCGUGUUUUGCAUUUUUAUUUUUUUAUCAUUCAAUACAUUUCAAUACACAUGUUUCCCUAACGUAAAAAAUUGAUGAAAUUCGUGGAAAAAAGCUAGACAAAAAUAUAUAUGUAUUAUUUUGAGGAAUCAGACUAGUUAAUAAAAUUAGGUGUAGUGUAUUGUUUUCUAUUUAAUUAUUAAAAAAGAUAUGGGGUAUAAAAUUCUAACAAAAGGGGAGGGGGUGAUUAUUCAACAAUGUUUAUGUUUUGUGAGGGAAAUAGGCGAUAUUGCUUUAAGGAAUGGGGGCUGCAACAAAAAACUACAUGGCCCAGACUGCCUAGCGCCAGGGUUAACUACGGGGCGGGGUUAAGCAGUAUAAAAGAUAGCAGAGCAGAGAAAUCGGUGUGUUGUUUGGGGAAGCACUGCCCGAUUGUGUUGCUGCAUACCGGAGUUUACUGGAGUUCCUGCUGUUACUUUGUUUUGUCUGCUAAAUAAACAAAUAAUAAGUACCUGCUGACACCGUAGUUAGUUUUGAAAAGUAUAGUUUAGUUCAAAGAACCGUUUUGUGCAUUCGCUUUUGUUUAUUUAUCAGUUUCCUGUAAAAAUACAGCCAAGUUCAAAUGUUGUGUGUUUAUUUUGUUUGCCUGCGUUAUUUACUGCGGUGAGGCAGAAAAGCCAAGGUCUGCUGGGCCAGAGCGAACCUGUGGAAACCUUUUGUUUGUGCUGUGUGAAGAAUGGAGAAAGAAAACAAGGACACCACGACUGUAGAGGGGGACUGUGUAUUGGUUUAGCACUUUGUGUAUUGUUUGUACCACACUCAUCACCCAGUGCCUCACUGUUUCUGGAGGGGGAGCCAUUUCCCCACCUACCUGUGCUUCACUGUUCCUGGAGGGGGAGCUAUUUCCCCAACAUACCUGUGUUUCACUGCUCCUGGAGGGGGAGACAAUUUCCCCAACUUACCUGUACUUCACCUUCACUGUUCCUGGAGGGGGAGCCAUUUCCCCAACUUACCUCUGCUUCACUGUUCCUGGAGGGGGAGCCAUUUCCCCAACUUGCCAGUGCUCUACUUUUCCUGGAGGGGGGAACCAUUCCCCAACUUACCUUUCCUGACCUGUGUUCCUGGAUACGUCAUCCAGGGGAGCCUCCAACAUUCCCUUACCUGAGAGGCCGGAGUGUCCCACGAGGGGGAGCCAGUGACCGGGACCAGUGUUACUGUCUCCUCUUCAUCACCUACAGUUAGCUAGGGUCGAAGAAGUGAGCUAGUUAGUAGCCCGUACAGGGCGUGUCUAUAAACGUCCUGUUUGUAAAUACUUGUAAAUAAAAAGCAACUUACCUGUGAAUGCAGCAUGUCCUUCUGAUCCAUACCUGGGGAAAAAACACACCCUAGUGGCGAGUACGAAUAGCGUCUUUCACAGCUUAAAUAGCAUUUUUUUUUAUUUUAUUGUGAGGUACAACAUCAUGAUGGUAUUACAGGAACCGAGUCGCCCAAAGUUCGAAAUAUGUACCUAGACCAUCUGACUCGAGGAAUAAUGGGCGUUAAGGAGUUAAUGGCUGCAUUAUUCCUUUUAUCAAGGAAAAACUCACCAUACCCUGGCAACCUGGAAGUCAAGAGCAAUAGCACCUCUCAGGACCUUCAACAACAUAUCCUAGUGUAUAACCCACUGGCUUGGAAUAUCACUACAUUCAUCAAUGUUACAGUGAUGUUCCCAAUGGCCAAGGUGUACGAUGACAGUGGAAACCGUAUUCCAGCACAGAAAAGCCCUCUGUGAAGAGUUGGCCUGAGGGACAAAGCAGGGUCCAUGUGGAGUCUGUCAGCCUUUCUAAGUCAUGGAAAUCAAUUAUUACUACUCACAAGUCUCUACAUUUUUUUUCUGGAUUGGUAACUUUAUUGGGUGCUUUUUCUUUUAUGAACAAAUCAUGCUAAUUAUUUGCUGUAAAUAGCAUUGAGAAACUAGCCAUACUUGUUUUUAGUUUGAUAUUGAAGAGGAACAUUUUUUUGUAAUGUGUUGCUAUUUAAAGGGCAGCAGUGUGGAGUAGUGGUUAGGGCUCUGGACUCUUGACCGGAGGGUCGUGGGUUCAACCCCAGGUGGGGGACACUAGCUGCUGUACCCUUGAGCAAGGUACUUUACCUAGAUUGCUCCAGUAAAAACCCAACUGUAUAAAUGGGUAAUUGUAUGUAAAAAUAAUGUAUAAUAUAAUGUAAUUGUAUGUAAAAAAUAAUGUGUAAAAAAAAUAAAAUAAUGUAAUUGUAUGUAAAAGUAAUGUGUAAAUAAAAUAAUGUAAUUGUAUGUAAAAAUAAUGUGAUAUCUUGUAACAAUUGUAAGUCGCCCUGGAUAAGGGCGUCUGCUAAGAAAUAAAUAAUAAUAAAAUACUGUACGAUUACAGAAAAACAGAAACAAGCUGACCCAGAUUUUGAUCGGGUGCUGCUGAGAAUCAUGCAUUUAUAUGAGGUUGAAGAAGAUCCUGUUCUGUCCCUGCCUGCAACUAUCAAUCUGAAGGAUCUGCUUAGUGGUUUGGGCACAGUGGCCUCUGUGGAAGAGCGUUCCCUCACAGGAACCUGGGAUCUCAGUGAGCUGAACAGAUGGAAAUGGAGAACCUCACAGAAAGAAGACAAAGGUUUGAAUUGAAUUGAAUACGGUACAUCAAGUCAUCGACCCAGAAGGAAAGCGAUGUAGCAACUGUGGAUUGCAGAAGAAAUGGUUGCACUCGCUAACCAAGGGGGUGUGACUGACAGUACAAAAGGUGAUCUGUUCCUUUGUUUAUGGUUAAGAGAGAACCGCUGAAGGACGAAAGUAAAAUAACCGUGAGUGUUUAGUGUUUGUUUGUUUUGUCUAAUUG
Long non-coding RNA from Acipenser ruthenus (sterlet), 2990 nucleotides. RefSeq lists it as uncharacterized. The transcript has 5 exons. The record is from RefSeq and is a predicted model, not a curated record. NCBI's taxonomy places the organism in Eukaryota, Metazoa, Chordata, Actinopteri, Acipenseriformes, Acipenseridae.